RNAcentral lists this ribosomal RNA (440 nucleotides) under uncultured bacterium. RNAcentral describes it as "bacterial SSU rRNA". It matches the Rfam family "Bacterial small subunit ribosomal RNA", at positions 93 to 527 of the family's 1533-position model. The record is from RNAcentral.
AUUUGGCGGACGGGUGAGUAAUGCUUAGGAAUCUGCCUAUUAGUGGGGGACAACAUUCCGAAAGGGAUGCUAAUACCGCAUACGUCCUACGGGAGAAAGCAGGGGCUCUUUAUGACCUUGCGCUAAUAGAUGAGCCUAAGUCGGAUUAGCUAGUUGGUGGGGUAAAGGCCUACCAAGGCGACGAUCUGUAGCGGGUCUGAGAGGAUGAUCCGCCACACUGGGACUGAGACACGGCCCAGACUCCUACGGGAGGCAGCAGUGGGGAAUAUUGGACAAUGGGGGGAACCCUGAUCCAGCCAUGCCGCGUGUGUGAAGAAGGCCUUUUGGUUGUAAAGCACUUUAAGUGGGGAGGAGGCUUACCUGGUUAAUACCUGGGCUAAGUGGACGUUACCCACAGAAUAAGCACCGGCUAACUCUGUGCCAGCAGCCGCGGUAAUAAU